This is a small nucleolar RNA of Betta splendens (Siamese fighting fish), 149 nucleotides long. The record is from Ensembl. NCBI's taxonomy places the organism in Eukaryota, Metazoa, Chordata, Actinopteri, Anabantiformes, Osphronemidae.
CUUCAGUGAUGAUACGAUGACGAGUCAGAACGGGGCUUAUUCUGGUUCUGGGGGUUUCUGGUUCAGAGUCACGUUCUGUGGUUCUUUCCGGUUCCUCAGAGCAGGGGCUUCUUUACAGUUGAAGACAUUGAGGCAUUUGUCUGAGAAGG